UUACAAUCCUGUGAAUGAAACAUUGUGAUCUCAAGUUUACAGAUGAAGACAAUAAACUUCAGAAAGUUCAAGUACAUCACUCAAGCAGGACUAUUUGUGCCCAUGAGGGAAACACGAAGGAUUGUCAGUAUUCAUUUGCUAUCAGAACUGCCUUUGAACUUCAGGGAAGCCGCCAUCUUGUUUUUGUUCACUCCUCUAAAGCAUAGUGUCUGCAACAUGAAACACUAAUAAGACACAGUUAUCCAGAAAGAGCCCUAGAGAUGGAUAAGGAACCUGUUGAAAUGCUCUGAUACUAAGAAAAAAAAAAAAAAAUUAAAUUCAAAACCAAAAACAAGUCACAAGGGAGUUUUAUGCCUAUGUAAUCAGUGCAGACAGCCGUUAAGUAAAUGAAGAGGCAACUAACAAUGUCAGAAAAGAGACCGGGCGGUUCCGGCUGACACUACCCUAAUCUUCCAGGACCCAUUAAAUGGCAGUUUCAACGCAUUACCUACCAUAACAUCCUUGAAUAUCACUGAUUUUAUUUGCAGUAUCAAACAUUCCAUUUCAUGCCCCAUUAACAGUGGGAGCCUGAGCUUUUUGACGCAGCUAAACAUUUUACUAACUACCUGGACUAAGUAACCAAUUAACUUUUGGAGACAAUACGGCCAAUUAAGCGCGAAAAGAAAAUUUAGAAAACAGGCUUUUCCUAUCAGGAUGAGCACAGAUAAUUUGUGUCUAUGGACAUUCUGUGAAGGCCCAUUGUGUCGAGCAGUGUAUUAAAACAUAAACAUGGCUCUUCCCCCAAGAAACUUACAUUUUAGUGAGGGAGCCUGGCCAGGCCAGAAUGGAAAACUGCAAGGUUCAAAUCCUGGAGUGCAGAAGAAGCAUUAGGCAUUGACCCUGUGUCUUCCUAAUAGAUCUGCAAAGUGCUUUGUUCCUGGAAAUCAUCCGAUGAGUAGUUCAGUGCUAUUGUAUAUCUUGUUAGAGCAGCAGAAGUGCCACAAAAUGAACUAAAAUCUCCCUGCAGAGUUGCUGUAUCAUAUGCUGAGAACAUUCUGAACUUUCAACAAAUUCAUGUUACGAUCCUGGGUAGCCAUGGUUAAAUCUGUACAGGGGUUAAAUGAGAAAUAUGAGUCUGCUGUUAAGUGUCUUCUGAGAGUGACAAAGCUCUGGCCAUAAGGGAUGGGAGAGGAGGGAUUUCUUCUCAGCCCUUCCAGCCCUUUCCAGCUAUAUCACAGACAGGAGACGUAAUGCAAAGGGGCUCAGACAUUGACUUCCUGGAUCCUUACAGCCCCAGGCAUUGACACCCCUCUACCUGACUUUUCCCACACUGUAAAAUGAGGAUCCUCCUAUAUUAUGGAGUUUAUUGUGAUAGCUAAAUAGCUGAGAGGAAGGACAUCUCAUUUGUUUUAACUAUGCGGU
This is a non-coding RNA of Chlorocebus sabaeus (green monkey), 1401 nucleotides long. The record is from RefSeq and is a predicted model, not a curated record. NCBI's taxonomy places the organism in Eukaryota, Metazoa, Chordata, Mammalia, Primates, Cercopithecidae.